AACACUACAACAUCUACACCACUAACAACAUCAUCUCUUCACUCUCUUUUCUUUGCUACUACAACCAUAUUUUUCUCCUCACCAUAACUAAACCUUCAUCCUCUUUCAUCUCACCAUCUUCCAACCACUUCAUAAACACCACAACACACUAAACUCUCUAUAAAAUUACAUCACACCAUCCAAAUGUUUUUCAUGAAAACCAUAUCUUAAACACCA
RNAcentral lists this long non-coding RNA (216 nucleotides) under Lathyrus oleraceus (garden pea). Its description in RNAcentral is "Pisum sativum (pea) long non-coding RNA (PSAT_LNC031566)". Lineage: Eukaryota; Viridiplantae; Streptophyta; Magnoliopsida; Fabales; Fabaceae. The record is from RNAcentral.